This 473-nucleotide ribosomal RNA is filed under the name uncultured organism. Its description in RNAcentral is "partial 16S ribosomal RNA". It matches the Rfam family "Bacterial small subunit ribosomal RNA", at positions 332 to 797 of the family's 1533-position model. The record is from RNAcentral.
UACACUCCUGCGGGAGGCAGCAGUGGGGAAUUUUGGACAAUGGGCGUAAGCCUGAUCCAGCAAUGCCGCGUGAGUGAAGAAGGCCUUCGGGUUGUAAAGCUCUUUUGUCAGGGAAGAAACGGUGAAAGCUAAUAUCUUUUGCUAAUGACGGUACCUGAAGAAUAAGCACCGGCUAACUACGUGCCAGCAGCCGCGGUAAUACGUAGGGUGCAAGCGUUAAUCGGAAUUACUGGGCGUAAAGCGUGCGCAGGCGGUUUUGUAAGUCUGAUGUGAAAUCCCCGGGCUCAACCUGGGAAUUGCAUUGGAGACUGCAAGGCUAGAAUCUGGCAGAGGGGGGUAGAAUUCCACGUGUAGCAGUGAAAUGCGUAGAUAUGUGGAGGAACACCGAUGGCGAAGGCAGCCCCCUGGGUCAAGAUUGACGCUCAUGCACGAAAGCGUGGGGAGCAAACAGGAUUAGAUACCCGUGUAGUCCC